AACGAACGCUGGCGGCAUGCCUAACACAUGCAAGUCGAACGAGACCUUCGGGUCUAGUGGCGCACGGGUGCGUAACGCGUGGGAACCUGCCCUUAGGUUCGGAAUAACUCCCCGAAAGGGGUUCUAAUACCGGAUAAUGUCUUCGGACCAAAGAUUUAUCGCCGUUGGAUGGGCCCGCGUUGGAUUAGCUAGUUGGUAGGGUAAAAGCCUACCAAGGCGACGAUCCAUAGCUGGUCUGAGAGGAUGAUCAGCCACACUGGGACUGAGACACGGCCCAGAAUCCUACGGGAGGCAGCAGUGGGGAAUAUUGGACAAUGGGCGAAAGCCUGAUCCAGCAAUGCCGCGUGAGUGAUGAAGGCCUUAGGGUUGUAAAGCUCUUUUACCCGGGAUGAUAAUGACAGUACCGGGAGAAUAAGCUCCGGCUAACUCCGUG
This 433-nucleotide ribosomal RNA is filed under the name uncultured bacterium. RNAcentral's name for it is "partial 16S ribosomal RNA". It matches the Rfam family "Bacterial small subunit ribosomal RNA", at positions 29 to 507 of the family's 1533-position model. The record is from RNAcentral.